UACGUAGGGGGCAAGCGUUGUCCGGAAUCAUUGGGCGUAAAGAGCGUGUAGGCGGUUCGGUAAGUCGGCUGUGAAAGUCCAGGGCUCAACCCUGGGAUGCCGGUCGAUACUGCCGGACUAGAGGGUGGUAGAGGCGAGUGGAAUUCCCGGUGUAGCGGUGAAAUGCGCAGAUAUCGGGAGGAACACCAGUAGCGAAGGCGGCUCGCUGGGCCAUUCCUGACGCUGAGACGCGAAAGCUAGGGGAGCGAACAGG
Molecule: ribosomal RNA, 253 nt
Filed under: uncultured bacterium
Lineage: Bacteria
Description: partial 16S ribosomal RNA
Rfam family: Bacterial small subunit ribosomal RNA
Source: RNAcentral